UACGAGGGGGGCGAGCGUUGUUCGGAAUUAUUGGGCGUAAAGGGUGCGUAGGCGGUUUGGUAAGUCUUAUGUGAAAUCUACAGGCUCAACUUGUAGUCUGCAUGAGAAACUGCCGGGCUUGAGUGUGGGAGAGGUGAGUGGAAUUCCUGGUGUAGCGGUGAAAUGCGUAGAUAUCAGGAGGAACACCUGUGGCGAAGGCGGCAUCCUGGACCAUAACUGACGCUGAGGCGCGAAAGCUAGGGGGAGCAAACGGG
Molecule: ribosomal RNA, 254 nt
Filed under: uncultured bacterium
Lineage: Bacteria
Description: partial 16S ribosomal RNA
Rfam family: Bacterial small subunit ribosomal RNA
Source: RNAcentral